RNAcentral lists this ribosomal RNA (1525 nucleotides) under Triticum aestivum (bread wheat). Its description in RNAcentral is "partial small subunit ribosomal RNA". The record is from RNAcentral. Lineage: Eukaryota; Viridiplantae; Streptophyta; Magnoliopsida; Poales; Poaceae.
CCUUUUCUUUUCUUUUUGUGGGGACGGGACUGGGCGAAGGUGUUGAGGGGGCGUUGGAGAGGAGGGGGCUCGCGGAGUAGGGUGGCGGCGGGAGUCUAGGGCGGCGGCGUGUGCGGGAGGGGCCUUGGGCGCCGGCGCGCGCGGGAGCGACCUUGGGGGCGGCGGCUCUCGGGGGACGGCAGCACGCGGGAGGGGCCUGCGGGGCGGCGUCGGGCGGGAGGGGCCUGGGGGCGCGGUGGCACGGUGGUGGCCCUAGGUUAGCGGUUGCUCUCGGAGAGGCGCUGGGGGGCGGGUCAACACCAGCAGCGGUCUACGGAGCGACGGCAGCUUGCGGCAGAAGGAAGCCCGUCGGUGCGUGGCAGGCUCGUGGCGGCACGGAAGAGCGUGGUCACGCAGCGGGGGCCAGAGGAGGACGGUACGGGAACGUCCUUCGAACACAGCGGCGUUCUUCAAGUUUACGGUAUCGUCACCGGCCUGUCUAAACUAUGUACCACGAGGGAGGGUGUUUCACCGACAACGAUCUGCUCCUUAGUUUGAGCGGAGGCGACGAUGGUUGGGGUGGUGACAACCUCUCCUCUCCUCCUUACGUUCGUACUAACUCGACCCUAUGGGCUCGGUUCCCCUCCUACGUAUUGUACCGUUGAUGAUCUUACCGUCCUCGACCAACUAGCAGCCCUGAACCUUACCUCCAACUGGUAGUACCUAGCUACCACCUAGUGCGGCCGGCCAGCCGUACGUACGUACGUACGUACGUAAAAGAAGAAAAAGUUUAAGUCUAAGACUCCAGCUCCUUCGGCCAGACCGCCUCGUGCCGCAACGUCUGCGCCUGAGGAGACGGAAGAACCGAAGUACGAGGCACAAGAGUGGCCGGCGGACCGGGCCAUUAAAAUAACAUAAAAAUAACCGAAGAACCGACACUUAACUGGUUUUAUACUGGACUCAACCGUACGGUACUAGAUUGCGUUCGUGCUGUGACCGGGUUAGGCCAGUUGUUUUCGUUUGAACCCAGUCACUACGAACGUUCAACUCCGAUGUUGUAUAGUCAUGUGAAUUUUCAUUCGGUUUCUCUUGUAGAUCAUCUUGACUAGAAACAUAUCAGACAUCUACAACGUCUUUCUUAAUACGGGUCGUUCACUUCGAAAGAAGGGCCAGCAGAAACCAAAUCUGACCGUGUCGACAAAGUGAAAACAGUCCAGCUGUUCCUACGUUUACUACAUGAUACUCUCUUCUUUCGGCGUAAGCGGUGUUGGGUCAGACUACUUCUUCUUCUUUGACUACUUUACCACACGGUGCUUGUCCAACGGGCUUUUUAUCACAGCUACGACUUAUUUUCGACAGUGGACGUCAUGGGAACCGUCAUACAGAAUGACAUAAAAGGUCGGAACAACGUCUAUCACCUCAACCAUUUUGCUUCGUUACGGCAGUUCCAAGGUGUAACAAAGCUGUUGUCCGAAAUGGAGUAGAGAAGGGAACUGAAAAAGGAAGGGAUCGCGGGGUUCAGUAAUAGGUUUCUUUGACUUACUUC